Molecule: ribosomal RNA, 253 nt
Filed under: uncultured bacterium
Lineage: Bacteria
Description: partial 16S ribosomal RNA
Rfam family: Bacterial small subunit ribosomal RNA
Source: RNAcentral
UACGUAGGGGGCAGGCGUUAAUCGGAAUUACUGGGCGUAAAGCGUGCGCAGGCGGUCUGCUAAGACAGGUGUGAAAUCCCCGGGCUUAACCUGGGAACUGCGCUUGUUACUGGCAGGCUGGAGUGUGGGAGAGGGGGGGGGAAUUCCACGUGUAGCAGUGAAAUGCGUAGAGAUGUGGAGGAACACCGAUGGCGAAGGCAGCCCCCUGGGCUAACACUGACGCUCAUGCACGAAAGCGGGGGGAGCAAACAGG